This 391-nucleotide unclassified non-coding RNA is filed under the name Hevea brasiliensis (rubber tree). Lineage: Eukaryota; Viridiplantae; Streptophyta; Magnoliopsida; Malpighiales; Euphorbiaceae. The record is from RNAcentral.
AUAAUAAUUAACCAGGACAACUGUUUCAUUUCAUGCAAAUUCUUUUAUGUUUGGUGCACAAGUUAGUCUCUUUUGCUUCAGCCUAAUGAUAGGACUAUGCACAAAGAGUAGCUUCCUCCAUCCCAUUAACCCAAUCACUUUCUAGUGGCUCGAGUUUGAGACACCAAAUUAGAAUUUGGCACUUCAGCCAUUAGAUUGCUCUUUCAGAAGGGCAUCGCCCAGCCUAAUGCCCAACAUAGCCCCAUUGAAAAUUUCAUUGGCAAAGGCCACACCACAGAGAAAUUCUCCUUGUCAUGACAUGCAUGUCAGAUUCACCUGCCCUUAUUUCACAUGUAAACACAAUAUUUCUUCAUAUUCCUCAAACAACAUGAUUUUAACUAAAAAUCCAUGU